Solenopsis invicta (red fire ant) is the source of this 814-nucleotide long non-coding RNA. RefSeq lists it as uncharacterized. The record is from RefSeq and is a predicted model, not a curated record. The transcript has 2 exons. NCBI's taxonomy places the organism in Eukaryota, Metazoa, Arthropoda, Insecta, Hymenoptera, Formicidae.
CGUACAACAUUUCCCUCAGCAUCCAUUCUAAAAUUACCUACAUCAACUAAUUUAUUUGGAUUGGCUUUAAGCACAUCAUUCUCCAGUUCUUCUAGAGUUGCUCUACAAACUAUAAGAUCAACUUCCGCAUCAACAGAUGUAUAUUCCGCUAAUGAGAAUAGAGCGAAGAGCAGCAAAGUUCUCAUCUGCAAGGAAAUGUGAACUUCGAAUUAUAUAGUAUCCGUCACGAGAAGUGGAUGUGUUUACUGUAAAUCUGCCACGUGCGUUAUGCUUGUGAGAAAAUAUCUUACCUUGUACGUCAAGUUCAUAUUAAUCAAAUUACAAUAAUCUUUUAGUUAUACUUUUCUACAAUAAUAUAUUUAAAACUCUCAACAACACACAGGUGACGCGUGUAACGUACACAUUGAUGUACAUCUUCUAAUCUCGCAAGAUAUUGUGUAAAACGUGGUUUCAUACGAACGAAUGACAAUUCGUAACGUGUAAUUCCGGUAAUGCCAACUGUUCAACUUGAAAAUGCUUUAUCCAAGAGAAAUUUUCCAUCAAAAUAAUAAAUACAUAAUGUAGUACCUACAAUCUGAUAUUAAUAAUAAUAUAGACAAUGGUACGAGUUGUUUAUUAAUUUUAUUAUCUUACAAAGAUAUAAAAAUGAUAUUUUUAAAGUACAUUUUGAAAUACCUAACCCUAACCUUAAUCUCAUCUAACUUUAUAAAUACAUAUAUUAAUAGGCUUGCAAAGGGUACAAAAAGCUUCACAAAUGGCAAUUCGAUUUUAAAAAAUACCUACAUUAAUUGAGUUUUAAGAAUAAGAAAAGAUA